Hypomesus transpacificus is the source of this 220-nucleotide long non-coding RNA. RefSeq lists it as uncharacterized. The record is from RefSeq and is a predicted model, not a curated record. Lineage: Eukaryota; Metazoa; Chordata; Actinopteri; Osmeriformes; Osmeridae. The transcript is spliced from 3 exons.
GUAGAUUACGAUGACCUCUCUCUACGUUCAGUCAGCGAGAGAGAUUUUCUGUCUGAUGAGGACCGUGACCGCCAGCAGAAUCCACUUCCGGAUAAACGCCUGAAUCAUGUUAUGGAUUACGAAGCCCAGGGCCUUCUUCCUUCUUCUGUGAGAGCCGUGACCGAGCCUUGCGUCUCUAAUGACGUGCACCCCCCCAUGCUACAAGAUCAGAAGAGGCGCG